AGCUCCAAUAGCGUAUAUUAAAGUUGUUGCAGUUAAAAAGCUCGUAGUUGGAUUUCUGGCAGGAGCGGCCGGCCACGCGCUCUGCGCGUGAGUUUGUGCUGUCUCUGGCCAUCCUCGGGGAGAUCGCGUUUGGCAUUAAGUUGUCGGGCGUGGGAUACCCGUCGUUUACUGUGAAAAAAUUAGAGUGUUUAAAGCAGGCUUAUGCCGUUGAAUAUAUUAGCAUGGAAUAAUAAGAUAGGACUUCGGAACUAUUUUGUUGGUUUGCGUUACGAAGUAAUGAUUAAUAGGGACAGUUGGGGGUAUUCGUAUUUCGUUGUCAGAGGUGAAAUUCUUGGAUUUCCGAAAGACGAACUACUGCGAAAGCAUUUACCAAGGAUGUUUUCA
This 384-nucleotide ribosomal RNA is filed under the name uncultured eukaryote. Its description in RNAcentral is "SSU rRNA". It matches the Rfam family "Eukaryotic small subunit ribosomal RNA", at positions 587 to 972 of the family's 1831-position model. The record is from RNAcentral.